GGAUACAUAAAACCUAGCUAUAAACGGAAAUAAACAAAGCCAUGGAAUCUGUCCUGGACCCGAGCCAUCUGCUUGCAUCGCGAAGACCACCAGCAAAGUUUGCCAUCGCCACAAAACAGCAAAGCAAAACAGACGUUGAUAAAACAAAAGCAGGCCCGGAUGUUGCGACGUCUGCUUGCAUACACACAACGGGGCUAACGGUUCGCCGGUCAACACCCUCGCUCGCGGCUCAGUUUCCCUUUAUCCCCAUCCGAUUAAAAUCGGGAAUCCUACCCGUCCAACCAAAACCAACCCUCCGGUGCACCUUGCGGCGCUUCUUUAGCUCAACCAGAGGCAGCUUCUGCUCCUCCCGACCAAUCGACUCACAGAACAUGAAGGAGCGGUACUCGAUCUUCACAAGCGGGCUAACGUGUCAAGUGGCCGUGUGGGCGAAGACCGCGCUUGCCUGAAAAUCUUUGUGACACGGCCGUCGCACAGCGGGCACUGCGGACACAGCGUGGCGAAGGGGUAAAGAUCUGAUGCUCGCUGGAGAUAAGCGAUACGGUCACACGACUUUUUACCUGGAAGUGCUCGGGGAUCGUAUCCGACUGCGCAACCGUCCCAGCAGGCAGCCCCUCCAUGCAUGCUACACGCUCGCGGUUGGCGUAUUUUUCCCUGUUCGCUGUUGACGGUCCCUAGCUUGUUCCAGGGCACAUCUAUGAGCAAACUGUGUUGAGAUGUUAGCCCCGUUGUGUUUUUAGGAACUGAGCCGCGAGCGAGGGUGUUG
This 766-nucleotide long non-coding RNA is filed under the name Volvox carteri. RNAcentral's name for it is "long non-coding RNA (VCAR_LNC001252)". Lineage: Eukaryota; Viridiplantae; Chlorophyta; Chlorophyceae; Chlamydomonadales; Volvocaceae. The record is from RNAcentral.